This 468-nucleotide ribosomal RNA is filed under the name uncultured bacterium. RNAcentral's name for it is "partial 16S ribosomal RNA". It matches the Rfam family "Bacterial small subunit ribosomal RNA", at positions 28 to 507 of the family's 1533-position model. The record is from RNAcentral.
GACGAACGCUGGCGGCGUGCUUAACACAUGCAAGUCGAACGGAAACGCAGUGAUUGUGUGCGGUGAUCGAGGGGCAAACGGGGGAGUGACACGAGUAUAACCUGCCCUUGUUUUUGGGAGGACAUCAGGAAAGGGGGGCUAAGACAAUAUAGGAGCUGCUGCUCCGUGGUGGGCGUGGGAAAGUUUCGGCGGUUGGGGUUGGAUUCGCGGCUUACCGGCUUGUUGGUGGGGGAGGGGCAUACCAAGGCUUGGACGGGUCCCCGGCCUUAGAGGGGGGACGGCCACAAGGGGACUAAGAGACGGACCAGACGCCUACGGGAGGCAGCGGUGGGGAGUCUGACCCAGUGGGAGCGAGCCUGAGGCAGCAACGCCGGGUGUGGGAUGACGGCCUUCUGGUAGUAAACCGCUUUCGCCUGUGACGAAGCGUGUGUGACGGUACCGGGAGAAGAAGCACCGGCUAACUACGUG